Molecule: long non-coding RNA, 1172 nt
Organism: Onychostoma macrolepis
Lineage: Eukaryota; Metazoa; Chordata; Actinopteri; Cypriniformes; Cyprinidae
Exons: 4
Source: RefSeq, a predicted model, not a curated record
GUAUAAUGAUAAGAUUAAACACUCAAUUUUUAGUCUAAACAAAAUAAUUUCCCGGUGUAUACCUAACGUCCAUCAAUACUCCGAUUUUAAUACGAUUACGACAAUACUCUGAUUAAGAGUCUACCAUGUAAACAGAGAUUUUUGAUGACCUUAAUCCAGCUAAAGUCAUAAUCGAAGUAAACACAAAUCGAAUUAAGACAUGUGGAGUAUUCCUAUUUUAGUCGCAUUAUUGAAGUGCAGUACAGACAUGUAAACACCUUAAUCACACUAUUACCGUUGUGUUGGACUUUUCACCGCAUUUUGCGACAGGACACACACACGGCAGCGAUCAACCGUUUGACGGCAAAUAAAAGAGUUUCAACACCAUCGUCGUCUGUGCACGUACAUAUAAUUAACUGCACUUGAAGCUUUCAUAAAAUUAAAAAUGAAACACCCAAAACUGUAUAUGGCAUCAUCACGAAGACGAACUAUAUGUUUAUACGUGAAAUUCUGGAGGAGACGUCGGAUAGCGUCGCGUGGUGACGUAAUGACGCAUGCCAUUAAUCGAUCUAUGUACUAUAACAUGUAAAACGGGAACAUGAAAGGAUUAUUCUAAAAGCAACUCAUGUAAACACCUUAAUCAUAAUAUUGCCUUAUUCAGAAUAAGGUAAAUAAUUAGAUUACUAUUGUCCAUGUAAACAUAGUCAAUGACUCACGGAGCAACUGGGCAAUCGACCUUCUUUCCGCCAUGAUGGAUCUACAAACUCCCGCCAAACUGUUCGACUGCAAUAUUUUCAUACAAGGUUUGGUCCUCCAUAUGGUCCUCCAUAGUUCAAGACAUUGGCUUUAGUUAAUUUGUGCACAGUUUACAGUCAAUUAUUAGCUUUUUCCCAUAUAAAGAUAUGAAGAGGUCGGUGCAUUAAUGAGGGCACAACAUGAGAUGAAAAACCACAUACUUCUCCACUCACUUGUGAAAGUUACCUGUGGAUUACUCUGUUCCUGGUUCCUGGUGGAUUUUCUGCCUGCUGUUUUGGACACUUGGACUGGUUUCCACCUGUUGUCUCUUGUUUGGAUUUAUGGCUCUUUGCCCACCUCAGCCUAGCGUUACCGAGGAAGCCUGUGGUUGCUGCACCGACGAAUAUGUUUUCUGUGACUUUGCUUGUCUCAUUCACGCAUAAUAAAGAAUCAUCUAA